RNAcentral lists this ribosomal RNA (254 nucleotides) under uncultured bacterium. Its description in RNAcentral is "partial 16S ribosomal RNA". It matches the Rfam family "Bacterial small subunit ribosomal RNA", at positions 524 to 776 of the family's 1533-position model. The record is from RNAcentral.
UACGGAGGGUGCGAGCGUUGUCCGGAAUCAUUGGGCGUAAAGGGCGCGUAGGUGGCUGUGGCAAGCGUGCGGUGAAAGCUCGGGGCUCAACCCCGAGUCGGCCGUGCGAACUGCCGGGCUUGAGCACUGUAGAGGCAGGCGGAAUUCCGGGUGUAGCGGUGGAAUGCGUAGAGAUCCGGAAGAACACCGGUGGCGAAGGCGGCCUGCUGGGCAGUGGCUGACACUGAGGCGCGACAGCGUGGGGAGCAAACAGG